This is a ribosomal RNA of Pochonia chlamydosporia 170, 120 nucleotides long. Lineage: Eukaryota; Fungi; Ascomycota; Sordariomycetes; Hypocreales; Clavicipitaceae. The record is from Rfam.
ACAUACGACCAUAGCCGCCAGUAGAGCUCAGGAUCCCGUUUGAUCUCCCAAGAGAAUCUGGCGAGCGCUAGAUUAGUAGUUAGCUCGGUGACGACUAGCGAAUACCUAGUGUUGUAUGUU